GGGGAAGUCUGUGGUAUCACCCUGUGUUUUGUUGUUUUGAUUCACCCAGAUCCCCUUAUCCAGGCCACCUUUGGAAACCAGCCCACCUGCUACACCAACCUUUUCCCAACACCGUGGUCCCACCCCUACCUUCGCUGCUGAAAAACCGCAUUGUGUGGGGGUCUGGAAUCUUCUGGACUCCUGGGACCCCAAUCCGCUUGCCUCUUGUACCCCUCUUGCAGAGCAAUGAGCCGAUGGGGUGCCAGGCAUUAGAAACCUUCCCUCCAAUCCUCACCAUGUCUCCAUUUUGCCAAAGAAGAAACUGAGGUUAAGGUCGCGAUGCUCUGGCCAGCAUCACAGGUAAACGAUUUUGGCAGUGCCCGGAGAAAGAUAGAAGUAAGACCUAAAGAGGAACUUUCCGCAUGUUAUGGGAGAGCCCCUGGGGCGAGGAGGCGAGGGCAGCCUUCCCCAGGCCAAGGGAGCAGCCAUCGCUCUUGGAUCUGUUUUUCCUCAAGCGUCUGUCCUGUGGGGCCUAGUCCCCAAGCGGCAGUCCUGGACCUAACGGGAGAAGGGGCUGGGGGAAGAGGGCGCACCCCCAGCCCGGGACCCACAGCAGCCCUAGCCAGUCCCCCACUCUCUCCCUCUGUAGGGGCCUCUCUCUGAGAUCGGGUCCUCCUCCUGCAGGGCAGCAGAGUGGAAGCCAGGGCCUGGGACCCUCUGGCUGGGCAAGGAGGGACUGGAGUCCGGCUCCCGGUGACCCCGUCCCCAGUGCCAGCGGUGGGGUCGCCUGUGGCGGCCCGGACAGGCCACGGGUCCCUCUCCCCAAGUCCCAUUACGUUGUAUUUAUGUUUCAUUUUAUAGUUUUUUUUUCCUCCUCCCUUAUUAUUGUCUC
Molecule: long non-coding RNA, 871 nt
Filed under: Homo sapiens (human)
Lineage: Eukaryota; Metazoa; Chordata; Mammalia; Primates; Hominidae
Description: non-protein coding LBX1-AS1:5
Source: RNAcentral